RNAcentral lists this ribosomal RNA (677 nucleotides) under Sonoita cf. lightfooti MRB200. RNAcentral's name for it is "eukaryotic LSU rRNA". It matches the Rfam family "Eukaryotic large subunit ribosomal RNA", at positions 87 to 508 of the family's 3401-position model. Lineage: Eukaryota; Metazoa; Arthropoda; Arachnida; Araneae; Salticidae. The record is from RNAcentral.
CGGCGAGCGAAAAGGGAAGAGCCCAGCGCCCAAUCCCCGACCCUCGGUCGCGGGAAAUGUGGCGUUUGGGAGUGAGCGUGCCGGGCGCGCGCUGGACGGCAAGUCCCCCUGACCGGGGCCUAUCCAUAGCGGGUGCGAGGCCCAUAGCCGUUCGGCGCGUCUCGGAUGCGAUCUCCUUGGAGUCGGGUUGCUUGGGAGUGCAGCCCUAAUCGGGUGGUAAACUCCACCUAAGGCUAAAUACCGCCGUGAGACCGAUAGCAAACAAGUACCGUGAGGGAAAGUUGCAAAGAACUUUGAAGAGAGAGUUCAAGAGUACGUGAAACUGCUCAGAGGUAAACGGGUGGGCCCUCGAAAUCCUGUGGCGAGAGGAUUCAGUCUGUCGGACCGUGCGCGAGGCCGGAAGUCGAGGCAGGGCUUCCCGGGACCGGGGCCGUCCGGUCGCGCGGACCUCGGGCCGGCAGACGCAUUUGACUCUCGUCCGAAGGACGCUGCAGCCGGCGGGGCAGUGAAAGCGCGACGGCCUGAAGGGCGGGAGAUGGCAGGUGGCCGCUGGCGCGUCUCGUGCGCGUCGGCGGUUGUUAGCCGUCCCGCCAGUGGCCCGUCGCCCCGCCGAGGUGUCACAAGGCCCCGAGUGGGCCUCUCCGUCUCCCUCCGUGCGGGAUGGACCGUUCGCUGGC